CCACCAAGCAAAAGAAUCAAGAGUGAGGUUCAUAGGUAUAAGGAAAGUGUUGAGCCUUAUGCGAAUAAAAUAGUCUAACUGCAUUAUUUAUGGGCAGAUUUAAGGAAUAUCAUGUAUUGCAUAAAUCCAUAAUCAUUUUUCCCUUGAGUCAUUUUUACAGAACUUUAAAUUUUCUCUUUCUGUCAGGGUGAGCAGCUUCAGAGUGCUCUUGUGUUUGAGGAGAUAGGUCGCCGCCUUAAGGACGUCGGGGGUGAGGUGGUGAAGAAAGUGAAUGCUGUGUUCGAGUGGCAUAUCACCAAAGGCGGGAACACUGCAGCUAAGUGGACAAUUGACCUGAAAAGCGGCUCUGGGAAGGUAUAUCAGGGCCCUGCAGAGGGCUCUGCGGAUACAACCAUCAUCAUCUCAGAUGAAGAUUUCAUGGAAGUGGUCCUGGGCAAGCUGGACCCUCAGAAGGCCUUCUUCAGUGGCCGCUUGAAGGCCAGGGGCAACAUCAUGCUGAGCCAGAAGCUUCAGAUGAUUCUGAAGGACUAUGCCAAGCUCUGAGGGCACCUGCACCAUGAGCACAAGGGUAUGCACCGUUAUUCUACAAGGUGAUCAAAACAAAAAUGCAGGAGAGACUGCUUAACAUUUUUAGAUUUCAGAUAACUUCAGAUUUUCAUUUUCUACUAAUUUUUCACAUAUUAUUUUUCCAAGGAACUGUAAGAUAGCACAUAAUUAUCUUUCUGUCCUUAGAUCUGUAUUGUCAAAAUAAAAAGAAAUUUCACCCAAAUCCGGUUUCUUUAGAAUCUGUGAUAGCAUUUAUAAGUUGAAAGGAAAAAUAA
Molecule: non-coding RNA, 821 nt
Organism: Castor canadensis (American beaver)
Lineage: Eukaryota; Metazoa; Chordata; Mammalia; Rodentia; Castoridae
Source: RefSeq, a predicted model, not a curated record